This is a long non-coding RNA of Crotalus tigris (Tiger rattlesnake), 440 nucleotides long. RefSeq lists it as uncharacterized. The record is from RefSeq and is a predicted model, not a curated record. The transcript has 2 exons. Lineage: Eukaryota; Metazoa; Chordata; Lepidosauria; Squamata; Viperidae.
CCAGCAAGCAGCACGAAAGCAAAAGCAAAACAUCUUGCAAAAAUCACCCAAUCUGCUUCCGCCACGUGACCCAAAAAAACCCCCACUUCCGGCUUCUUCUCUCCAGGCCGCAUGGCCGCGGAGGCCUCGUUUUGGUCGCCGUUUUGCCUGUCCCAGAUAUGGGAAGGAAUCGACAUAGAGACCAUGAUGCCCAUCCGCUUCCUGACGCUGCAACCCAUGGCGCUCUGCUACUGACGGCGGCAGAGUAGCUGCAACCGGGUGGUGGGAGGCUUUGGAGAUGGCUGAGCUUGUUUGGGUGGAUGGGAGGGCUACAUGUCUCUUGGAGCAACUGCCACAGAUCCACGAAGUUCAGAUUCAUCUGGACCAGCCACAUGGAUUCCCGUCUUGAGUUGAAGACCAACCUUCCAGUGUCCAGUAAAAGGACCUCUGCUUUGAUGCAA